CACGGCUGCUCUCCUUCAGCUCCGUAACUUGGUGGAGCUGCAGGAGGAGCUGAAUAGUUUUCUUGUAACUUUCCUGUUGAAAUAAUUUUUUGAAGACAUUUCAAGAGUUUAUAUAUUUCUUGAGCUCCCCAACUCCACUUGAAUUUUCUUGCCAAAACAUUGGAGUUCUGUGUAAAUAUUAAAGUUAAUACGUCUCUGGAAAAUGCCUGUCUGUAGCUGAAUGAAGACCCCUGUCCCUUCUGUCUGCUACAACAAAACAUCAUCAUCAUUAUCAUCAUCAUCAAACCACAGGGUUUCCCCCCCCGCCAUGACUCACACACAGAUCUAAGACAGACUCUAACCUCCGGCACGGCGCUGUCAUCUCUACUACUGUCCACCCACAUCUUGUCCCAACCUCCUGAAGAUGCGGUCAGGAAAAGCCCCCCAAGAGGAGAAGGGGGCGUUACUGGACAGCACUCUGCCACCACAGGAAGAGGCUUCUUCUCAAAACGUUAUCCCCCAUCAAUCCAGUCAGCAACGAUACAAAAAGACAGAGAAGAGCUUCCUCCGUCACAUGUG
This is a long non-coding RNA of Gambusia affinis (western mosquitofish), 558 nucleotides long. RefSeq lists it as uncharacterized. The record is from RefSeq and is a predicted model, not a curated record. NCBI's taxonomy places the organism in Eukaryota, Metazoa, Chordata, Actinopteri, Cyprinodontiformes, Poeciliidae. The transcript is spliced from 3 exons.